RNAcentral lists this ribosomal RNA (585 nucleotides) under uncultured bacterium. RNAcentral's name for it is "bacterial SSU rRNA". It matches the Rfam family "Bacterial small subunit ribosomal RNA", at positions 338 to 916 of the family's 1533-position model. The record is from RNAcentral.
CCUACGGGAGGCAGCAGUGGGGAAUUUUGGACAAUGGGCGAAAGCCUGAUCCAGCAAUGCCGCGUGCAGGAUGAAGGCCUUCGGGUUGUAAACUGCUUUUGUACGGAGCGAAAAGGUUCUCUUUAAUAAAGAGGAUCCAUGACGGUACCGUAAGAAUAAGCACCGGCUAACUACGUGCCAGCAGCCGCGGUAAUACGUAGGGUGCAAGCGUUAAUCGGAAUUACUGGGCGUAAAGCGUGCGCAGGCGGUUAUAUAAGACAGUUGUGAAAUCCCCGGGCUCAACCUGGGAACUGCAUCUGUGACUGUAUAGCUAGAGUACGGUAGAGGGGGAUGGAAUUCCGCGUGUAGCAGUGAAAUGCGUAGAUAUGCGGAGGAACACCGAUGGCGAAGGCAAUCCCCUGGACCUGUACUGACGCUCAUGCACGAAAGCGUGGGGAGCAAACAGGAUUAGAUACCCUGGUAGUCCACGCCCUAAACGAUGUCAACUGGUUGUUGGGUCUUCACUGACUCAGUAACGAAGCUAACGCGUGAAGUUGACCGCCUGGGGAGUACGGCCGCAAGGUUGAAACGUCAAAGAGUAGUAGG